Molecule: ribosomal RNA, 253 nt
Filed under: uncultured bacterium
Lineage: Bacteria
Description: partial 16S ribosomal RNA
Rfam family: Bacterial small subunit ribosomal RNA
Source: RNAcentral
AACGUAGGGGACAAGCGUUAUCCGGAUUUACUGGGCGUAAGGCGCCCGUAGGCGGCCUGACAAGUUGGACGUGAAAGCUCCUGGCUUAACUGGGAGAGGCCGUUCAAAACUGUCAAGCUAGAGUCUGGAAGAGGAGAGCGGAAUUCCCGGUGUAGUGGUGGAAUGCGCAGAUAUCAGGAGGAACACCAAUAGCGAAGGCAGCUCGCUGGGACGUUACUGACACUGAGAGACGAAAGCUAGGGGAGCGAAUGGG